This 253-nucleotide unclassified non-coding RNA is filed under the name uncultured Gammaproteobacteria bacterium. Its description in RNAcentral is "contains 16S-23S intergenic spacer region". It matches the Rfam family "Bacterial small subunit ribosomal RNA", at positions 524 to 776 of the family's 1533-position model. Lineage: Bacteria; Pseudomonadati; Pseudomonadota; Gammaproteobacteria. The record is from RNAcentral.
UACAGAGGGUGCAAGCGUUAAUCGGAAUUACUGGGCGUAAAGGGCGCGUAGGCGGAUGAUUAAGUUAGAUGUGAAAUCCCUGGGCUUAACCUAGGAACUGCAUUUAAUACUGGUUAUCUGGAGUGCAGUAGAGGAUAGUGGAAUUUCCGGUGUAGCGGUGAAAUGCGUAGAUAUCGGAAGGAACACCAGUGGCGAAGGCGGCUAUCUGGACUGACACUGACGCUGAGGCGCGAAAGCGUGGGGAUCAAACAGG